This 235-nucleotide ribosomal RNA is filed under the name Isochrysis galbana. Its description in RNAcentral is "partial Bacterial large subunit ribosomal RNA". It matches the Rfam family "Bacterial large subunit ribosomal RNA", at positions 2069 to 2302 of the family's 2925-position model. The record is from RNAcentral. Lineage: Eukaryota; Haptophyta; Isochrysidales; Isochrysidaceae.
CCCGCGGUCAGACGGAAAGACCCCGUGCACCUUUACUAUAGCUUCGCAGUGGUAUUAGGACGUGGAUGUGUAGGAUAGGUGGGAGGCUUUGAAACCAGACUUUCGGGUUUGGUGGAGCCGUCCUUGAAAUACCACCCUGUUUGUCGUGUUGACCUAACUUCGACCCAUGAAUCUGGGCGAAGGACCAUGUUAGCUGGGCAGUUUGACUGGGGCGGUCUCCUCCUAAAGAGUAACG